GGUAGGAUUAUCUCCCUAUAACCCAGUGGACAGCAAGUGGAAACAUCACCUCUGCACCAUGUUUCCUGUAGUACUACAAUAUCAACAUCAGCAAUUUAUUUCAGGAAGUCUGGGUUUCUGCUCUUUAGCCCAAAAGCAGAGGACUUCAAUCCUUUUGUUGUGCUCAUCUUACCAUGACCCUCGGCCUAUCACAUGUGAGCAUCCAUGACCCUCGGCCUAUCACAUGUGAGCAUCCAUGACCCUCGGCCUAUCACAUGAUCCUCCCUUCUACCAGUAACAGUUUCAUGUUGAAGAACCUGGUAUCUGGAGUGGACUACAACUUGUGUGUCCUGGCCAUCUUUGAUGACAUCGUCACCUCCUUGGCGGCGACCAAG
RNAcentral lists this long non-coding RNA (374 nucleotides) under Salmo salar (Atlantic salmon). Its description in RNAcentral is "lncRNA (ENSSSAG00000098807.1)". The record is from RNAcentral. Lineage: Eukaryota; Metazoa; Chordata; Actinopteri; Salmoniformes; Salmonidae.